Molecule: ribosomal RNA, 914 nt
Filed under: uncultured archaeon
Lineage: Archaea
Description: bacterial SSU rRNA
Rfam family: Archaeal small subunit ribosomal RNA
Source: RNAcentral
UUCUGGUUGAUCCCGCCAGACCUGACUGCUAUCGGAUUGAUACUAAGCCAUGCGAGUCGUUGUAGCAAUACAAGGCAUACGGCUCAGUAACGCGUAGUCAACCUAACCUAUGGACGGGAAUAACCUCGGGAAACUGAGAAUAAUGCCCGAUAGAACAUUAUGCCUGGAAUGGUUUAUGUUCCAAAUGAUUUAUCGCCAUAGGAUGGGACUGCGGCCUAUCAGUUUGUUGGUGAGGUAAUGGCCCACCAAGACUAUUACAGGUACGGGCUCUGAGAGGAGUAGCCCGGAGAUGGGUACUGAGACACGGACCCAGGCCCUAUGGGGCGCAGCAGGCGAGAAAACUUUGCAAUGUGCGAAAGCACGACAAGGUUAAUCCGAGUGAUUUCUGCUAAAGAGAUCUUUUGUUAGUCCUAGAAACACUAACGAAUAAGGGGUGGGCAAGUUCUGGUGUCAGCCGCCGCGGUAAAACCAGCACCUCAAGUGGUCAGGAUGAUUAUUGGGCCUAAAGCAUCCGUAGCCGGCUCUGUAAGUUUUCGGUUAAAUCUGUACGCUCAACGUACAGGCUGCCGGAAAUACUGCAGAACUAGGGAGUGGGAGAGGUAGACGGUACUCGGUAGGAAGUGGUAAAAUGCUUUGAUCUAUCGAUGACCACCUGUGGCGAAGGCGGUCUACCAGAACACGUCCGACGGUGAGGGAUGAAAGCUGGGGGAGCAAACCGGAUUAGAUACCCGGGUAGUCCCAGCUGUAAACUAUGCAAACUCAGUGAUGCAUUGGCUUGUGGCCAAUGCAGUGCUGCAGGGAAGCCGUUAAGUUUGCCGCCUGGGAAGUACGUACGCAAGUAUGAAACUUAAAGGAAUUGGCGGGGGAGCACCACAAGGGGUGAAGCCUGCGGUUCAAUUGGAUUCAACGCCGGG